Long non-coding RNA from Scatophagus argus, 1619 nucleotides. RefSeq lists it as uncharacterized. The record is from RefSeq and is a predicted model, not a curated record. NCBI's taxonomy places the organism in Eukaryota, Metazoa, Chordata, Actinopteri, Scatophagidae. The transcript has 3 exons.
UCCGGGGCCCUCCAGAGGCUCAGGGGGAUCCAUUAGAGCCCCGAGAAACAUGAGGAAUAAUAAAGAUACGAUUUAUUGCACCCACAUCAGGUUAUUACAAGAAGAAUACGUAUAAAAAUGAUGAUGAUGUUGGUUCAAUCCGAGGUUUCACUCCCUCCCUUCGGGGGGAAACCUUUUCAAAAUUCAGGGGAUUCCUCUUGCCUAAAAAAAAUGUUCCGUAAUCUCCAGUUUUGAAAACACACAGAAUAAAUUCAUUUCUUGUACUUUCCUGACUAAAUGUCUUCUGGACUUGCAAAUAAAGUGGUACCCCCCACCCCUCCAAAAUCUUCUCUUGGUAGCUAUUGGUUUCAGUUCAGGAAUUUCAACACAUGCCCCAGCAGACCACAAUUGACAAAGCUCAGUCAGUCUUAUGAAAUGCCUGUAGGGUGUAGGUGAAGUCUAUAGACACACAACAACCAGCCAUUAAAUGAGGAUUUAAAGGGAGCUGGAAAUACAGUGGACAUGGCAGUAAGAAAUUAAAGAAACAGCUGACAAAAUACUUCACGCACCUGAUCGACUGCUGAGGCCGUCUCUGCUUCGAGCUUCAUCCAUCCAGGUCCGUGGGUUGGAUCGAUGGGGUGGAGGGUCAAGCCGGGUCAUGUCGAGUUUGGUUGAGCGGCGACGGAGUGGCAGGAUCGGUGUCAAAAACUCCCCUUUGCCUGAUCCGAUCCCAGUGUCAGUCCCAUUUUUAGCAGCAGCUCCUGUCUCAGCUGUGGAUUUCUGGUGUGGUGCUGCCUCUGUGCCGACGUGCAGGUGCCUCUGGCGCAGGCAGUCAUGGCAGCGGGAGGGGUCAAAGACGUUGGGCUGGAACUUUGGGCAGAUGGGCUCAUCGCUGGAGACGGGCAUUGCGAGUAUGGAUGGCGAACCUGGACGAUCAUUGCAUCCCUCAGAGAAAACUGGGAAAUAAUAGGGUGUGAAGGAGCAGAAUAGAAAUGAAAAACAAAGCAGCAACAACACAAUUAACUUUGUUUUCAAUCAUUAGAAAUGUGUGGCACUCAAAAUCAAGCAAUGCUAAGCAAUGCAUCUUCCAUCUUUGUAGUGUGAGGUGAAAUAAACACAACAUUAAAGUUUUCUUGAGAACUGAAAUACUCUAAGCUGUUGAUUCUAGCUGUGACACUGCAUUUCUGGAGACAGGUGUAACCACAGCGCAGCGACUUAGAAUGAAUGUGCAAGAGGAUCUUUUAUUUCAUGGUUCAUGCAAGAUCUGAAGAGGAACUGUUAAGGCAGGUGAUAACUAAACACACUAGAAGACAGUGAAACAUAAUCCAGUCAGAGAGCUGUUAAAGCUCCCCACAGAGGAGCUUUACUACAAACCACAUGCUCUGUAAUCUAACAGCUUUUACGAAAACCACAGCUUCGAUUAAUGAAUGAACCUAUUAGGACAGUAAAAAGUGGGAUAAUUUAAAUAGCAGAAAAUAUUUUGCGAUGGUUUUGAUAUAAAAACAAUGAAGGAAUUAAUGAGCAUUACCUGACAAAGAAGCUCCGGCUAUCAGCUCCACUUUCAAUGAGGAGUGUGAGGAUAAACUGCCCACCAGACCCCCAUCAGACACAUGCCUCUUCUUCCCCAUGCUCUCUGUCCU